AUGCACACCAUUACAGAGAAGAAAAAUCUACAGGAGAGAAAGAGCCCCUCCACUAACUCCCUUAAAUCUCCAUCAUUUUCAGUUUUGAAGAUAUCUAGACAUGCUCCACGAUCUCCUCUUCGAACCCGCAGAAACUCCUGUCCUCUCCCUUCUCUGUUCUUCCAAAAUACAUCCACGAAGUGCUGCUGCUCCAUGAACGCCGGUGCUUGUUCCUGGCGACUUCAAGCAUCUCCAUCCAUUCCCUUGUACCAGGUACAUACCCUCCUCACCAUGAAUCCAUUCAGAGAAGAAAGACAGCGAUCCGUUGACCACACACGAAGAAUUCCGCAUGUUCGUCUACACUGUUCGUCAAGUUCAUCGCACCGCUGCGUCAAACUCGGGAUUGACGACAGUGUUGGACAUGGACAGAAACAUGUUACCGAAGAAGGACUCAACAAUGAAGAGUUUCAUGAAGACAAAGGUGAUAACUACGCCAAGUAUGGCGAUCUGUAG
This 492-nucleotide ribosomal RNA is filed under the name Triticum aestivum (bread wheat). RNAcentral describes it as "partial small subunit ribosomal RNA". The record is from RNAcentral. Lineage: Eukaryota; Viridiplantae; Streptophyta; Magnoliopsida; Poales; Poaceae.